RNAcentral lists this unclassified non-coding RNA (305 nucleotides) under uncultured Phaeotremellaceae. Its description in RNAcentral is "sequence contains ITS1". The stretch from base 1 to 105 matches the Rfam family "5.8S ribosomal RNA", at positions 50 to 154 of the family's 154-position model. Lineage: Eukaryota; Fungi; Basidiomycota; Tremellomycetes; Tremellales; Phaeotremellaceae. The record is from RNAcentral.
GAAAUGCGAUAAGUAAUGUGAAUUGCAGAAUUCAGUGAAUCAUCGAAUCUUUGAACGCACCUUGCGCCCUUUGGUAUUCCGAAGGGCAUGCCUGUUUGAGUGUCAUGAAUCAUCAAUCCUCGAGGUUUCUCUUGGAUUGGAGUUGGGCGUUGCCGAUCGGCUCGCCUUAAAGAUGUUAGCAGACACGAUGGUGAUGUCGACGUGAUACGUUUCGUCGGACCAGCCAUACGCCCGCUCAUAACCCCACGGCUUCGGCCCACUUUAACUCUGACCUCAAAUCAGGCAGGACUACCCGCUGAACUUAA